This 1354-nucleotide ribosomal RNA is filed under the name uncultured bacterium. Its description in RNAcentral is "bacterial SSU rRNA". It matches the Rfam family "Bacterial small subunit ribosomal RNA", at positions 28 to 1381 of the family's 1533-position model. The record is from RNAcentral.
GACGAACGCUGUCGGCGUGCUUAACACAUGCAAGUCGAACGGAAAGGCUCCGCCUUGCUGGAAUACUCGAGUGGAAAACGGGAGAAUAACACGUGGGAAAUCUGCCCUGCACUCUGAGAUAAUCCUGAAAAACUGGCUCUAAUACUAGAUAAGACCUUUCUCCUUAUGGGGUUUGAAGGAAAGUUUUUCGGAGUAUGAUGACCCCGCCUACUAUCAUCUUGUUGGUGGAAUGAUGGACUACCAAGGCGACGACUGGUAGCCCGCCUAAGAGGGAGAUCCGCCUCAUUACUACUAAAAUACCGCCAAUACUCCUACAGGAGGCAGCGGUGAAUAAUAUUGCACGAUGGGCGGAAUCCUGAUGCAACGACGCCUCGUGAAGGAUGACCGCCUUCUGGUUGACAAACCUCUUUCAGCAAGGACGAUUCUUAAGUGACGGCACCUGCAAAAAAAGCACCGGAUAACUACGUGCCAACACCCGCGAUAAUACAUAGGGCGAGAGCGUUGUCCAGAAUUACUGGGCAUAAAGAUCUCAUAUGCGGUGUGUCACCUCCUCUGAGAAAUCCUAGGGCUUAACCCUGGACGUGCACGAUAUACGGGUUGACUUGAUGACGACAGGGGAGACUGAAAUUUCUGGUGUAGCGGUGGAAUGCACAGAUAUCAGGAAGAACACCGAUGGCGAAGGCACGUCUCUGGGUAGUAACUGACGCUGAGGAGCGAAAGCAUGGGUAGCGAACACGGUUAGAUACCCUGGUAGUCCAUGCCGUAAACGGUGGGCGCUAGGUGUGGGGUUCCUUCCACGGGCUCCGCGCCGUAGGUAACGCAUUAAGCGCCCCGCCUGGGGGAGUACGGCCGCCAGGCUAAAACUCAAAGAAAUUGACGGGGGCCCGCACCAGCGGCGGAGCCAGUGGAUUAAUUUGAUGCAACGCGAAGAACCUUACCUGGGCUUGACAUAUAGAGGAUCGCUACAUAGAUGUAGGUUUCCCUCUGUUGGCUUCUAUACAACGUGGUGGCACGGUGUGUUCGUCAGCAUCGUCGUCGUCGAGAUGAUGGGUUAAGUCCCGCAACGAGCGCAACCCUUGUCUUAUGUUGCCACCACGUUAUGGUGGGGACUCGUGAGAGACUGCCGGGGUCAACUCGGAGGAAGGUGGGGAUGACGUCAAAUCAUCAUGCCCCUUAUGUCCAGGGCUUCACACACGCUACAAUGGCCGGUACAGAGGGCUGCGACGCCGUGAGGCGGAGCGAAUCUCUUAAAGCCGGCCUCAGUUCGGAUUGGGGUCUGCAACUCGACCCCAUGAAGUCGGAGUCGCUAGUAAUCGCAGAUCAGCAACGCUGCGGUGAAUACGUUCCCGGGCCU